Molecule: transfer RNA, 76 nt
Filed under: Streptomyces phage Daubenski
Lineage: Duplodnaviria; Heunggongvirae; Uroviricota; Caudoviricetes; Stanwilliamsviridae
Also listed under: 1 other name
Description: tRNA-Pro
Rfam family: tRNA
About the family: Transfer RNA (tRNA) molecules are approximately 80 nucleotides in length. Their secondary structure includes four short double-helical elements and three loops (D, anti-codon, and T loops). Further hydrogen bonds mediate the characteristic L-shaped molecular structure. tRNAs have two regions of fundamental functional importance: the anti-codon, which is responsible for specific mRNA codon recognition, and the 3' end, to which the tRNAs corresponding amino acid is attached (by aminoacyl-tRNA synthetases). tRNAs cope with the degeneracy of the genetic code in two manners: having more than one tRNA (with a specific anti-codon) for a particular amino acid; and 'wobble' base-pairing, i.e. permitting non-standard base-pairing at the 3rd anti-codon position.
Source: RNAcentral
CGGGAUAUAGCUCAGCUUGGUCAGAGCGCGCGGUUUGGGACCGUGAAGUCGUCAGUUCGAAUCUGACUAUCCCGAC